AUGGUAAUAGAUUUCAAAGAUUUUAAUUUUUUAGGUUUGAGUUCACCUUGUGCAACUAUUUCCUGUGAACAUAAGAGUGUAACUAUUUCCUAUGAACAUAAGAAGGUAGCCUGCUUUCCUUCUCUGGUUUGUGCACCAUCAACCAGCUCCUUUCCUUCCUCAGGUGUUUCUCUGUACAGGAAGAUGCCCUGGCAAGGCUUCCAGCACUCUCCCAUAGGCUCAGUUGAAGGUCUUCAGGCAGAUGUGCAUCUCUCAACCUUUGUGCUCUCCAUGGGCACGCAGCAAUGCCUUGGGGGAGCUCUGCCUUCUGCUGCACCACCACUCUCAGCUGCUGACACGGAUGACCACCAGGCUCCAGCUCCCAGGAUGCCUGCCUUUGUCUCCAGCACUUUGGAAGCUGCUCUGAAGCCAAGAAGCCAGAUUUCUCCAGGACUGAUUCCUAACCAGUGCUUGAUCUGGAAAACCAGUGCCAGCUCCAGCUCUAGUAAAGUGUGUGUGUAUUUUGCUAUGGGUCUCCUGUGAAGAGGUGGGAAGGCUUUUGCCAAAUUUUAUGAGUUUGUAGAGAUAAGAGAGCUGUGCUCUGCACACCAGAUCUGCCCACCCACGCAGAUCCCUGUGGAGAAGGGUGAGGAGGAGGAAUGAUUAUCACAGAGUUGUCAGACUCACACAAGAAAACUUGGGAGGAAGGAAGGGAAGAAAAAGGUUGGGAGAGGUGGUAUGGCUAGAUGCCUUGUGGGAAGCACAUCCCACAGCUGAACAGAAAUAGGGAAAAUAAUCUGGAGAAUCCCAAACCACAGUACAAGCUAUGAGAAACACAGAAACUCCUCCCUGUCACUUUCUCAUGGAGUUGGCUUCAGGGUUGCAGAGAAUCUCGGGAUGAUAAAGAAGAGGCUGAAAAGCAUUAGAAAAGGAAAUAGUCUCUAGAGCUGACUGUGAACUGAUGUUUCUAUUCCAUGAAAAUGACAAUAUUGCAAAAUACACUUCAGUUCUAAUUUGAAAUGAAAAUUCAAAAUAUCAAAGCCAUUUUCACAAGGAAGAAGACUGAUCCAGAUUUAUCAAGAUAGUUCUUAAAGAAUAGUAAAAUUUUGAUAAUGUAAUACUUGGCUUUUUAUUUUUAACAGUGUUAAAGCAUUGAAAAAUAAUCAAAAUAUUAUUUAAA
RNAcentral lists this long non-coding RNA (1159 nucleotides) under Catharus ustulatus (Swainson's thrush). RNAcentral's name for it is "lncRNA (ENSCUSG00005006195.1)". The record is from RNAcentral. Lineage: Eukaryota; Metazoa; Chordata; Aves; Passeriformes; Turdidae.